Molecule: transfer RNA, 82 nt
Filed under: Hordeum vulgare
Lineage: Eukaryota; Viridiplantae; Streptophyta; Magnoliopsida; Poales; Poaceae
Description: tRNA-Met
Source: RNAcentral
GUGGGGUUGUUGCGCAGUUGGCUAGUGCGUAGGUCUCAUAGCUAUAUCCUGAGAUCGACAGUUCUAACCUCUCUCUCCCACA